RNAcentral lists this ribosomal RNA (749 nucleotides) under uncultured bacterium. RNAcentral's name for it is "bacterial SSU rRNA". It matches the Rfam family "Bacterial small subunit ribosomal RNA", at positions 51 to 787 of the family's 1533-position model. The record is from RNAcentral.
ACACAUGCAAGUCGAGGGGCAGCAUGGUCUUAGCUUGCUAAGGCUGAUGGCGACCGGCGCACGGGUGAGUAACACGUAUCCAACCUGCCGUCUACUCUUGGCCAGCCUUCUGAAAGGAAGAUUAAUCCAGGAUGGCAUCAUGAGUUCACAUGUCCGCAUGAUUAAAGGUAUUUUCCGGUAGACGAUGGGGAUGCGUUCCAUUAGAUAGUAGGCGGGGUAACGGCCCACCUAGUCAACGAUGGAUAGGGGUUCUGAGAGGAAGGUCCCCCACAUUGGAACUGAGACACGGUCCAAACUCCUACGGGAGGCAGCAGUGAGGAAUAUUGGUCAAUGGGCGAUGGCCUGAACCAGCCAAGUAGCGUGAAGGAUGACUGCCCUAUGGGUUGUAAACUUCUUUUAUAAAGGAAUAAAGUCGGGUAUGCAUACCCGUUUGCAUGUACUUUAUGAAUAAGGAUCGGCUAACUCCGUGCCAGCAGCCGCGGUAAUACGGAGGAUCCGAGCGUUAUCCGGAUUUAUUGGGUUUAAAGGGAGCGUAGAUGGAUGUUUAAGUCAGUUGUGAAAGUUUGCGGCUCAACCGUAAAAUUGCAGUUGAUACUGGAUGUCUUGAGUGCAGUUGAGGCAGGCGGAAUUCGUGGUGUAGCGGUGAAAUGCUUAGAUAUCACGAAGAACUCCGAUUGCGAAGGCAGCCUGCUAAGCUGCAACUGACAUUGAGGCUCGAAAGUGUGGGUAUCAAACAGGAUUAGAUACCC